RNAcentral lists this long non-coding RNA (284 nucleotides) under Musa acuminata (dwarf banana). RNAcentral's name for it is "long non-coding RNA (MACU_LNC005531)". Lineage: Eukaryota; Viridiplantae; Streptophyta; Magnoliopsida; Zingiberales; Musaceae. The record is from RNAcentral.
GAAGGUCCACCCGGUGGCGGCGACGACGACGGGGUCCGCCAUGACCGACCGCGAGAUGGGGCACCGGAACUCCACGGGCGGCUCCACGGCCGCCGUAGUAACCGAGGAGGAGGAAGAGGGCGAGGUGGACAGCGAGAGGUGGGAGGUGAGCUUGCAGCGCUGCUCGUCGCUUCCCAUUUCACUCGGUUUCCAUGCGAUGACACGGCCAUCCUCGUCUUCCUCCUCUUCUUGGAAUCUUUUAGCAGUCGUCGCACGGAGUCAGCGGCGCGGAUCAGCUGCGUGAU